RNAcentral lists this ribosomal RNA (390 nucleotides) under Curtobacterium sp. A9 305. RNAcentral describes it as "bacterial SSU rRNA". It matches the Rfam family "Bacterial small subunit ribosomal RNA", at positions 125 to 528 of the family's 1533-position model. The record is from RNAcentral. Lineage: Bacteria; Bacillati; Actinomycetota; Actinomycetes; Micrococcales; Microbacteriaceae.
CCUGCCCCUGACUCUGGGAUAAGCGUUGGAAACGACGUCUAAUACUGGAUAUGAUCACUGGCCGCAUGGUCUGGUGGUGGAAAGAUUUUNUGGUUGGGGAUGGACUCGCGGCCUAUCAGCUUGUUGGUGAGGUAAUGGCUCACCAAGGCGACGACGGGUAGCCGGCCUGAGAGGGUGACCGGCCACACUGGGACUGAGACACGACCNAAACUCAUACGGGAGGCAGCAGUGGGGAAUAUUGCACAAUGGGCGAAAGCCUGAUGCAGCAACGCCGCGUGAGGGAUGACGGCCUUCGGGUUGUAAACCUCUUUUAGUAGGGAAGAAGCGAAAGUGACGGUACCUGCAGAAAAAGCACCGGCUAACUACGUGCCAGCAGCCGCGGUAAUACGU